Molecule: ribosomal RNA, 429 nt
Filed under: Bacteroidota bacterium
Lineage: Bacteria; Pseudomonadati; Bacteroidota
Description: Bacteroidetes bacterium partial 16S ribosomal RNA
Rfam family: Bacterial small subunit ribosomal RNA
Source: RNAcentral
UAGGGAAUCUUCCGCAAUGGACGCAAGUCUGACGGAGCAACGCCGCGUGAGUGAAGAAGGAUUUCGGUUCGUAAAACUCUGUUGUUAGAGAAGAACAGCGCAUAGAGUAACUGUUAUGCGUGUGACGGUAUCUAACCAGAAAGCCACGGCUAACUACGUGCCAGCAGCCGCGGUAAUACGUAGGUGGCAAGCGUUGUCCGGAUUUAUUGGGCGUAAAGCGAGCGCAGGCGGUCAAUUAAGUCUGAUGUGAAAGCCCCCGGCUCAACCGGGGAGGGUCAUUGGAAACUGGUUGACUUGAGUGCAGAAGAGGAGAGUGGAAUUCCAUGUGUAGCGGUGAAAUGCGUAGAUAUAUGGAGGAACACCAGUGGCGAAGGCGACUCUAUGGUCUGUAACUGACGCUGAGGCUCGAAAGCGUGGGUAGCAAACAGG